Molecule: ribosomal RNA, 2464 nt
Filed under: human gut metagenome
Description: bacterial LSU rRNA
Rfam family: Bacterial large subunit ribosomal RNA
Source: RNAcentral
AGGGCGUACGGUGAAUGCCUUGGUGCCAACAGGCGAAGAAGGACGCGGCAAGCUGCGAAAAGCCUCGGGAAGCUGCAAGCAAGCGAUGAUCCGGGGAUAUCCGAAUGGGGUAACCUGAUCGAGGCAAUACUCGAUCGUUCAUACCUGAAUACAUAGGGUAUGAAACGCGAAACCCGCUGAAGUGAAACAUCUCAGUAAGCGGAGGAAAAGAAAGAGAAAUCGAUUCCGUAAGUAGUGGCGAGCGAAAGCGGAUGGAGCCCAAACCGAAGGUAUUCCUUCGGGGUUGUAGGACCACGUCAUAUUCGACCAUACUGGAUAGUAGAACAGCCUGGAAAGGCUGGCCGGAGAAGGUGAAAGCCCUGUAGACGAAAUCCAGAGUGGGAAUUAGUGGUAUCCUGAGUAAUACAUCACACGUGGAACGAUGUAUGAACCCGCGCGGACCACCGCGCAAGGCUAAAUACUAGUUGGCGACCGAUAGUGAACAAGUACCGCGAGGGAAAGGUGAAAAGAACCGCUGUGAGCGGAGUGAAAUAGAACCUGAAACCGUAUGUCUACAAAGUGUCAGAGCAGAGCAAUCUGCGAUGGCGUGCCUUUUGUUUAAUGAGUCUGCGAGUCAGUGUUUGUGGCAAGACUAAGGGCUUCCGGCCCGGAGUCGCAGCGAAAGCAAGUCCGAACAGGGCGCAACAAGUCGCAGGUACUGGACCCGAAGCGGAGGUGACCUACCCUUGGCCAGGUUGAAGCAUGGGUAAAACCAUGUGGAGGACCGAACAGGUGAACGUUGAAAAGUUCUCUGAUGAGCUGAGGGUAGGAGUGAAAGGCUAAUCAAACCCCGUGAUAGCUGGUUCUCUUCGAAAUGCAUUUAGGUGCAGCGUCACGUGCUGAUGCGCGGGGGUAGAGCACUGACAAGGCUAGGGGGCACACCCGCUUACCAAACCUUAUCAAACUCCGAAUACCGUGCAAUGGAACGUGGCAGUGAGACAGUGGGGGAUAAGCUUCAUUGUCGAGAGGGAAACAACCCAGACCAGCAGCUAAGGUGCCUAAAUAACGCUCAGUGGAAAGGAUGUGGGAUUACACAGACAGUGAGGAUGUUGGCUUAGAAGCAGCCACCAUUUAAAAAAUGCGUAAUAGCUUACUCAUCGAGUGAUCCUGCGCCGAAAAUGAUUGGCGAUCAAGCGUUAUACCGAAGCUCUGGACUUUGCCGCAAGGCAGAGUGGUAGAAGAGCGUUGCAUGCGCGUCGAAGGGCGAUGGCGACUGACCCUGGAGCACAUGCAAGUGAGUAUGCAGACAUGAGUAACGUUAAGCCGGGUGAAAUCCCCGGCCGCCGUAAACCCGAGGUUUCCAGGGCAACGUGUUUCGUCCCUGGGUUAGCCGGGACCUAAGCCGAGGCCGAGAGGCGUAGGCGAUGGACAUCAGGUUAAUAAUCCUGAGCUCGCAACCCUUAAACUGGGGGGACGCAUGAGAAAAGAUGACUAGGUUAUUGAAUUCCGAGUUGAGUCUACGGACUCAGCGCAUCAUUGGAUCGAGUGCCAAGAAAAGCCCCAGCGUAUGCUAAGCGACCCGUACCGCAAACCGACACAGGUGGGUGGGUAGAAUAUACCAAGGCGUAAGAGUGAAACCUGGUUAAGGAACUCGGCAAAUUAGCCCCGUAACUUCGGAAGAAGGGGUGCCUGCAGCGAUGCAGGCCGCAGAGAAAUGGCCCAACCGACUGUUUAUCAAAAACACAGCACUCUGCAAAGACGCAAGUCGAAGUAUAGGGUGUGACACGUGACCAAUGCCGAAAGAUUAAGGCAAGGGGUUAGCCGCAAGGCGAAGCUCUAAACCCAAGUCCCGGUGAAUGUCGGCCGUAACUAUAACGGUCCUAAGGUAGCGAAAUUCCUUGUCGGGUAAGUUCCGACCUGCACGAAUCGUGAAACGAGUUGGGCACUGUCUCAACCAGGCGCUCAGUGAAAUUGUAGUGGCGGUGAAGAUGCCGCCUACCCGCAGAAGGACGGAAAGACCCUAUAGACCUUAACUGUAAGCUGUCAUUGUUUCUUCGGUUUUAAUGCUCAGAGUAAGUGGGAGACGCUGAAGACGCCCUUUAGGGGGCGUCCGAGUCAUCAAUGAGACACCACCCUUUGAAACUGGAGGAUCUAACCCUGAGCCGUGAAUCCGGCCAGAGGACCGUGUCAGCCGGUCAGUUUUACUGGGGCGGUAUCCUCCCAAAGAGUAACGGAGGAGCGCGAAGGUGGGCUCAGCCCGGUUGGCAACCGGGUGUCGAGUGCAUGGGCAUAAGCCCGCCUAACUGUGAGACCAACAAGUCGAGCAGAUGCGAAAGCAGGCCCAAGUGAUCCGGCGGUAGAAAGUGGAAUUGCCGUCGCUCAACGGAUAAAAGGUACCUUAGGGAUAACAGGCUGAUCACGCCCAAGAGUUCAUAUCGACGGCGUGGUUUGGCACCUCGAUGUCGGCUCGUCGCAUCCUGGGGCU